Molecule: transfer RNA, 73 nt
Filed under: Ailuropoda melanoleuca (giant panda)
Lineage: Eukaryota; Metazoa; Chordata; Mammalia; Carnivora; Ursidae
Rfam family: tRNA
About the family: Transfer RNA (tRNA) molecules are approximately 80 nucleotides in length.
Source: Rfam by way of RNAcentral
GCCUGGUUGGCUCAGUUGGAAGAGUAUCUGACUCUUGAUCUCAAAGUCAUGAGUUUGAGCCCCAUAUUGGGUA